This is a non-coding RNA of Triticum aestivum (bread wheat), 186 nucleotides long. NCBI's taxonomy places the organism in Eukaryota, Viridiplantae, Streptophyta, Magnoliopsida, Poales, Poaceae. The record is from Rfam.
UUACUACUCCCUCCGUCCCAAAAUUCUUGUCUUAAAUUUGUCUAGAUACGGAUGUAUCAAAUACUAAAACGUGACUUGAUACAUCCGUAUCUAGACAAAUCUAAGACAAGAAUUUUAAAACGUGACUUGAUACAUCCGUAUCUAGACAAAUCUAAGACAAAAAUUUUGGGACGGAGGGAGUACCUC